RNAcentral lists this long non-coding RNA (208 nucleotides) under Spirodela polyrhiza (greater duckweed). RNAcentral's name for it is "long non-coding RNA (SPOL_LNC000520)". Lineage: Eukaryota; Viridiplantae; Streptophyta; Magnoliopsida; Alismatales; Araceae. The record is from RNAcentral.
CCUCAUCAAAUACCCUUCCGCCUCACUGAGAAGAGCUCAGCGGUGAAUAGAUAAGGGAGCUCCAUUGGAGCUAAUCUUCUGGGAGGAAGAAGAGAAAGAGUAGAAGAGAAACGGUAGAGGAGAAGAGAGGAGAGGAGCUCCCAUGGCCGCCUCCCCGGCUUCGGCCCACCACCUCCUCCUCCUCCUCCGCUCCCGCCCGCGCGCCACC